This 422-nucleotide ribosomal RNA is filed under the name uncultured bacterium. RNAcentral describes it as "bacterial SSU rRNA". It matches the Rfam family "Bacterial small subunit ribosomal RNA", at positions 358 to 773 of the family's 1533-position model. The record is from RNAcentral.
GGAAUCUUGCGCAAUGGGCGAAAGCCUGACGCAGCGACGCCGCGUGAGUGAUGAAGGCCUUCGGGUUGUAAAGCUCUGUGGAGAGGGACGAAUAAGGGUUGGCUAAUAUCCUGCCCGAUGACGGUACCUCUUUAGCAAGCACCGGCGAACUCUGUGCCAGCAGCCGCGGUAAGACAGAGGGUGCAAACGUUGUUCGGAAUUACUGGGCGUAAAGAGCGUGUAGGCGGCUGGGCAAGUCGGAUGUGAAAGCCCUGGGCUCAACUCAGGAAGUGCAUUCGAAACUGCCGAGCUCGAGUUCCGGAGAGGAAAGCGGAAUUCUCGGUGUAGAGGUGAAAUUCGUAGAUAUCGAGAGGAACAUCGGCGGCGAAGGCGGCUUUCUGGACGGCAACUGACGCUGAGACGCGAAAGCGUGGGGAGCAAAC